CCAGCAGCCGCGGUAAUUCCAGCUCCAAUAGCGUAUAUUAAAGUUGUUGCAGUUAAAAAGCUCGUAGUUGGAUUUCUGCCGAAGACGUCCGGUCCGCCCUCUGGGUGUGCACCGGUUCGGCUUUGGCAUUCUUCUGGAGAACGUGGUGCACUUGAGUGUGUGCUGCGGUAUCCAGGAAUUUUACUUUGAGAAAAUUAGAGUGUUUCAAGCAGGCAAUCGCCUUGAAUACUGCAGCAUGGAAUAAUAAGAUAGGACUUUAGUCCUAGCUUGUUGGUUUCUGGGACUGAAGUAAUGAUUAAUAGGGAUAGUUGGGGGCAUUCGUAUUUAACUGUCAGAGGUGAAAUUCUUGGAUUUGUUAAAGAC
This 363-nucleotide ribosomal RNA is filed under the name uncultured eukaryote. RNAcentral describes it as "SSU rRNA". It matches the Rfam family "Eukaryotic small subunit ribosomal RNA", at positions 567 to 936 of the family's 1831-position model. The record is from RNAcentral.